RNAcentral lists this non-coding RNA (143 nucleotides) under Linnemannia elongata AG-77. RNAcentral's name for it is "Mortierella elongata AG-77 Eukaryotic large subunit ribosomal RNA". It matches the Rfam family "Eukaryotic large subunit ribosomal RNA", at positions 2831 to 2973 of the family's 3401-position model. The record is from Rfam by way of RNAcentral. Lineage: Eukaryota; Fungi; Mortierellomycota; Mortierellomycetes; Mortierellales; Mortierellaceae.
UGGCUUGUGGCAGCCAAGCGUUCAUAGCGACAUUGCUUUUUGAUUCUUCGAUGUCGGCUCUUCCUAUCAUACUGAAGCAGAAUUCAGUAAGCGUUGGAUUGUUUACCCACAACAGGGGCAUGUUAAAGAAGACGAGAGAGGCU